UGGUUUUUCCCCCAUCUCAGAAUUGAACAAAUGUACAAUCGGGUUUUAUACCGAGACAUUUAUUUCCCAGGGUCAGGCAGGAGACAGUGGCCUUCUUCUCUCUCAACUGCAAGAGGCUUUCCUCUUUGACUAAUCCACCUCAGCACAGACCCUUUCGGGUGUCGGGCUCGUGGACGGUCAGGUCUUUCUCAUCCCACGAGGCCACAUUUCAGACUAUCACAUGGGGAGAAACCUUGGACAAUACGCUGCUUUCAAGGGCAGGGCUCCCUGUGGCUUUCCACAGUGUAUUGUGCCCCUGGGUUAUUGAGACUAGAGAAUGGCGAUGACUUUUACCAAGUAUACUGCUUGGAAACAUCUUGUUAACAAGGCACGUCCUGCACAGCCCUAGAUCCCUUAAACCUUGAUUUCAUACAACACAUGUUUUUGUGAGCUUCAGGUUGGGUCAAAGUGGCUGGGGCAAAGCUACACAUUAACAACAUCUCAGCAAAGCAAUGGUUGAAAGUACAGGUCUUUCUCAAAUUGGAGUCUCUUAUGUCUUUCCUUUCUACAUAGACACAGUAAGAGUCUGAUCUCUCUUUCUUUUGCCUACACUCACUGAACUGCCCUUCCCCUCUCCUGGGCCAUGACCACAGAGAACAGGUCCACUGUCCUCCCUGCGUGGUGCACCAUGGAUGCUCAGACUCCAUCCUCAAGGCUGGCAAGAAGACAGGGUGAGACAUGAGGCUCCUGAUACAGGUGACGGCUGUGGAGCCCACAGGACUGCAACCUCACACUGCAGGGCUGGAGGCACAGACUGAGUAUUUACUGUUCUGUGGCCUGGGGGGCUCAAGGCACAGAGCUCCUCAUUAGCCAAAAUCACCCAAGUUCCCCAACCUCUAAGGAUUUCCUCAUCACCAUGCAAGAACAAGAAGAGAAAAUGAUUGUCCAUAGAAGCUUUGGGACUCUUCCUCUAAUCAGGAGAAAGCUGGUCUCUCAUUCCACAUAACGAGAAACGCCCACAGGUGUGGAGGGGCAACCCACCCCUUCAGUCAGGAACCUCAGAAUGUGACAUUUGGAAAUUGGGUGGUUGCAGAUGUAACAAAUUAACUUGGCGACAUACUGGAGUAAGGUGGGCCCUUCACACCAUAUGACUGGUAUCCUUAUAAGAAGAAAAGAAGAGACACAGAGGGAAGACAGCCGUGUGCAGCUGGAAUGAUGCACCUGAAGCCAAGGAAUGCUGCGCAUUGCCGGCCACCACCCAAAACUGGAAAAAGUCAGGCAGGAUUCUUCCCUAGAAUCUUCAAAGGCAGCACAGCCCUGCCAACACCUGGAUUCAGACUAUGGCCUCCAGAACUGUGAGAGGAUGAAUUUCUGUUGUUUUCAGCCACCCAAGCUUAGGGAAUGGGUUGCAGCAGACUGGGAAUAAGACAGGCAGCCAGGCAGCCUCCGUGGAAUUCCCAGGCAGCUUGCAGGAGCCACAGUGGGCCCUGGGCUCUGAGAAGGUCUGAGGCCCAGCAGGCGCAGGGGCCUAAAUUAUUUCUCGGCAAGGAGGAAGGAAGGUUCAUCAAGAACAUAGAUCCCCUUCCUCCUUCUCACACCUCACGAGGUCACAGCGACGUGGCUGGGAGGAGAGCCAGUGACUUUUCACUGAGGUGUGUGGGAGACAGCUUGGCCGCCCUUGGCCUCUGAAGGGAGGAGGUGGCGUGAAGGAGGGCAGCUUUGGAACUUCCCAGUUCCUGCUUGAUGACCUGUGUGUAAAGUAUUCCUGUUUAGGUUUCAAAAUCCUCUCAGAAACAUAAUUCUCAGAAAAUCUAGGCACCCAAUCCAGCUCCCUGGCCUUCUCUGAAAUCUGAAGUCAAAGGGGCUGAGCCAGCCUGCCCUGGGUGUCAGGCCUCUGAGCUCAAGCUAAGCCAUCAUAUCCCCUGUGACCUGCAGGUACACAUCCAGAUGGCCCGUUCCUGCCUUAACUGACGACAUUCCACCACAAAAGAAGUGAAAAUGGUCUGUUCCUGCCUUAACUGAUGACAUUGUCUUGUGAAAUUCCUUCUCCUGGCUCAUCCUGGCUCAAAACCUCCCCCACUGAGUAGCUUGUGACCCCCACUCUGCCUGCCAGAGAACAACCCUCCUUUGACUGUAAUUUUCCUUUACCUACCCAAAUCCUAUAAAACGGCCCCACCCCAUCUCCCUUUGCUGACCCUCUUUUCAGACUCAGCCCACCUGCACCCAGGUGAAAUAAACAGCCAUGUUGCUCACAC
RNAcentral lists this long non-coding RNA (2234 nucleotides) under Homo sapiens (human). Its description in RNAcentral is "HSALNT0068324". Lineage: Eukaryota; Metazoa; Chordata; Mammalia; Primates; Hominidae. The record is from RNAcentral.